Molecule: ribosomal RNA, 511 nt
Filed under: uncultured bacterium
Lineage: Bacteria
Description: bacterial SSU rRNA
Rfam family: Bacterial small subunit ribosomal RNA
Source: RNAcentral
AUUGAACGCUGGCGGCAUGCCUAACACAUGCAAGUCGAACGGCAGCGCGAGUAGGGGUAACCUUACUUGGCGGCGAGUGGCGGACGGGUGAGUAAUAUGUAGGAAUCUACCUAGAGGUGGGGGAUAACUUGGGGAAACUCAAGCUAAUACCACAUAAGCCCUAAGGGGGAAAGCAGGGGACCGCAAGGCCUUGCGCCUUAUGAUGAGCCUACAUCGGAUUAGCUAGUUGGUGGGGUAAAGGCCUACCAAGGCGACGAUCCGUAGCUGGUCUGAGAGGAUGAUCAGCCACACUGGGACUGAGACACGGCCCAGACUCCUACGGGAGGCAGCAGUGGGGAAUAUUGGACAAUGGGGGAAACCCUGAUCCAGCAAUGCCGCGUGUGUGAAGAAGGCCUUCGGGUUGUAAAGCACUUUCAGUGGGGAGGAAGGACACAAUGCUAAUACCAUUGUGUAUUGACGUUACCCACAGAAGAAGCACCGGCUAACUCUGUGCCAGCAGCCGCCGUAAAAC